Molecule: ribosomal RNA, 789 nt
Filed under: uncultured archaeon
Lineage: Archaea
Description: bacterial SSU rRNA
Rfam family: Archaeal small subunit ribosomal RNA
Source: RNAcentral
CKGCUCAGUAACACGUCGAUAAUCUGCCCUUAGUUCUGGAAUACCCUUGGGAAACUGAGGAUAAGACCGGAUAGGGAAAUCCAACUGGAAGGUGGAUUUCUUCAAACGUAAGGACUAAGGAUGAGUUGGCGGCGGAUUAGGUUGUUGGCGAGGUAACAGCCCACCAAGCCGAAGAUCCGUAGGGGCCUUGAGAGAGGUAGCCCCGAGAAGGGCACUGAGAUACUGGCCCUAGCUCCACGGAGUGCAGCAGGCGCGAAACCUUUACAAUGCACGAAAGUGUGAUAAGGGAACCCCAAGUGAUUAUGCAAAGCAUUAUCUUUUGCUUAGAGCAAAUAUCUAAGCGAAUAAGUGGUGGGCAAUACCUGUGCCAGCCGCCGCGGUAACCCAGGAGCCACAAGUGGCAACCACCUUUAUUGGGCCUAAAGCGUCCGUAGCCGGUUUUGUAAAUUUUCUGUGAAAUCGUUGCGCUUAACGUAACGGCGUGCAGAAAACACUGCAAGACUAGGGACCGGGAGGAGUCAGAGGUAUUUUGGGGGGAGCGGUAAAAUGCUAUAAUCCCCGAAGGACCACCUGUGGCGAAAGCGUCUGACUAGAACGGAUUCGACGGUGAGGGACGAAAGCUAGGGGAGCAAUCCGGAUUAGAUACCCGAGUAGUCCUAGCUGUAAACUCUGCGGGCUAGGUGUUACGUACUCUUAGGGAAUACGUGGUGUCGUAGCGAAGGUGCUAAGCCCGCCGCCUGGGGAGUACGGUCGCAAGGCUGAAACUUAAAGGAAUUGGCGGGGGAGCAC